Molecule: unclassified non-coding RNA, 205 nt
Filed under: Melitaea cinxia (Glanville fritillary)
Lineage: Eukaryota; Metazoa; Arthropoda; Insecta; Lepidoptera; Nymphalidae
Description: misc RNA ENSMCXG00005014609.1
Source: RNAcentral
UGAAAAAAAGUAUUUUAAUACAAAGGGCAAUAGAUUAAUUAAAAAUGCUAUUCCAACAUUAAAUUUGCCACAACCAUUGGAUGACAGUCUUUUGGUAGAUUUUCCUUUAUAUGGUGAAGAAAAAGAAAAAUCUCAAAUCUUGAAAGUUUUCAAGAUAUAACAAAUUCAGAGAAUGUGCAAUGGAAUGAAAAUAUUUUAUCUAAAG